UCGUUGAGUCACCGUGAUUUACAUAAUUUCAAAUGCUCAUUCAAGCCGGGGUGUGAGGACUCUUGGGUUUGAUGAUUCAACAUUUUGGG
Long non-coding RNA from Ipomoea nil (Japanese morning glory), 89 nucleotides. RefSeq lists it as uncharacterized. The transcript is spliced from 3 exons. Lineage: Eukaryota; Viridiplantae; Streptophyta; Magnoliopsida; Solanales; Convolvulaceae. The record is from RefSeq and is a predicted model, not a curated record.